This 497-nucleotide ribosomal RNA is filed under the name uncultured bacterium. RNAcentral describes it as "partial 16S ribosomal RNA". It matches the Rfam family "Bacterial small subunit ribosomal RNA", at positions 28 to 507 of the family's 1533-position model. The record is from RNAcentral.
GAUGAACGCUGGCGGCGUGCCUAAUACAUGCAAGUCGAGCGAACAGAUGAGGAGCUUGCUCAUCUGACGUUAGCGGCGGACGGGUGAGUAACACGUGGAUAACCUACCUAUAAGACUGGGAUAACUUCGGGAAACCGGAGCUAAUACCGGAUAAUAUAUUGAACCGCAUGGUUCAAUAGUGAAAGACGGUUUUGCUGUCACUUAUAGAUGGAUCCGCGCCGCAUUAGCUAGUUGGUAAGGUAACGGCUUACCAAGGCAACGAUGCGUAGCCGACCUGAGAGGGUGAUCGGCCACACUGGAACUGAGACACGGUCCAGACUCCUACGGGAGGCAGCAGUAGGGAAUCUUCCGCAAUGGGCGAAAGCCUGACGGAGCAACGCCGCGUGAGUGAUGAAGGUCUUCGGAUCGUAAAACUCUGUUAUUAGGGAAGAACAAAUGUGUAAGUAACUAUGCACGUCUUGACGGUACCUAAUCAGAAAGCCACGGCUAACUACGUG